This 451-nucleotide ribosomal RNA is filed under the name uncultured bacterium. RNAcentral describes it as "partial 16S ribosomal RNA". It matches the Rfam family "Bacterial small subunit ribosomal RNA", at positions 28 to 507 of the family's 1533-position model. The record is from RNAcentral.
GAUGAACGCUGGCGGCGUGCCUAACACAUGCAAGUCGAGCGGCAGCGAGGGGUGCUUGCACCCUGUCGGCGAGCGGCGGACGGCCGAGUAACGCGUGGGAACGUGCCCCAAAGUGAGGAAUAACUGCCCGAAAGGGUAGCUAAUACCGCAUAUUAUCUUCGGAUCAAAGGAUUUAUCCGCUUUGGGAGCGGCUCGCGUCGGAUUAGGUAGUUGGUGAGGUAAUGGCUCACCAAGCCGACGAUCCGUAGCUGGUCUGAGAGGAUGACCAGCCAGACUGGAACUGAGACACGGUCCAGACUCCUACGGGAGGCAGCAGUGAGGAAUCUUCCACAAUGGGCGAAAGCCUGAUGGAGCAACGCCGCGUGCAGGACGAAGGCCUUCGGGUUGUAAACUGCUUUUAUAAGUGAGGAAUAUGACGGUAACUUAUGAAUAAGGAUCGGCUAACUACGUG